This is a non-coding RNA of Phasianus colchicus (ring-necked pheasant), 1068 nucleotides long. NCBI's taxonomy places the organism in Eukaryota, Metazoa, Chordata, Aves, Galliformes, Phasianidae. The record is from RefSeq and is a predicted model, not a curated record.
UUGUCUCAACUAGAUGUGAGAUGUAAAAUAAUAAUGGUAUCAAUAAGAAAGUAGUAAUAGCAUUGGUAAUAGCUCUAGAUGUUUUCUAGCUGUAACAUCAUGAAUCACCAUAGAAUUUCAUGUAAUGGUUAAAGAUUAAGUGAAAUUAAUUAUUUUAAUAAACAAGUCAAAUGAUAUUUCAAACAUAGAACAACAGGUAUAAUUAAACUGUAUCAAAGACUUGAUGUUCACAGUCAGCUGGCUGAUGAACACACUGAGCUCCAAAAGCAAGGGAGAAUUCAUUAUGAAAUUAAUACUUAUGCACAAAAUCCUCUGUAUCAUCCUUUACAGAAUUAAUUGAUCACUUCUCACAAAGCAGACCAUUUGAGGUGUCCUGGUGUUCUGUUCUGUGACUAUCCUGUGGCUGUGACAGCCGAGGCUCUUCUCGGGCUGCUCCAUUUUCUGGGUGCACACUGUAUAUGCUGCAUUAUGACAUACUGCAGAUGUGGUCACGUGGGCUUCGUGAAGCUGCUCUGCUGCCUUGGCUACACAGAGUGACUCAGAUAUCAGCCCAGUAGUCACUAAUGUACUCACAGCCACAGUACUGUUCCUGCCUGGCAACAGCUCAGCUCUCAGAUAUCUACAUGGGAGGAGUAGGGGAGAAUAAAUUGUCAUCAAGCUACUCAGAACAACAAAACAGUGUUUGUGAAUUCUACUAAUUUCAACUGUUAAGUGCUAACAAACAGACUUCAGUGCUGUCAGGGCUCCUCAGGACUUCUGACAUUAAAGAAAUCAAAGGAGGAAUUUGCUGGCCAGGUCACUAACAAGUUUGCAAACCCAAGCUGCUUAGGAGGAAGUGAAAUGAACAGCCAAACGAAGUGCACCACCGGCAACACACUGUGGGAUUUUGAGAACUAGGAUAACCAUAAUACAACUGUCAAGUGCUAAACAUCUUCACUCCACCAAUAGGAACCAGACAUUCAUCAUUACAAUCAGAAAGGCUUUAUUGCUAUUCCUAACAUGUAUGUGUCCUCCUUCUGCCCAGCUACGAAAUCAGCUGAGUUUGCAAAUAAACUGGUUUUGGUUGAC